CCUACGGGUGGCAGCAGUGGGGGAUAUUGCACAAUGGAGGAAACUCUGAUGCAGCGACGCCGCGUGAGGGAAGACGGUCUUCGGAUUGUAAACCUCUGUCUUUGGGGAAGAAAAUGACGGUACCCAAAGAGGAAGCUCCGGCAAACUACGUGCCAGCAGCCGCGGUAAUACGUAGGGAGCGAGCGUUGUCCGGAAUUACUGGGUGAAAAGGGAGCGUAGGCGGGCGUGAAAGUUGAGUGUUAAAGCGACCGGCUAAACUGGUAGCUGCGUUCAAAACUUCUUGUCUUGAGUGAAGUAGAGGCAGGUGGAACUCCAAGUGUAGCGGUAAAAUGCGUAGAUAUAUGGAAGAACACCAGUGGCGAAGGCGGCCGCCUGGCCUGUUGCUGACGCUGAGGCACGAAAGCGUGGGGAGCAAAUAGGAUUAGAUACCCCGGUAGUC
RNAcentral lists this ribosomal RNA (439 nucleotides) under uncultured bacterium. Its description in RNAcentral is "partial 16S ribosomal RNA". It matches the Rfam family "Bacterial small subunit ribosomal RNA", at positions 338 to 795 of the family's 1533-position model. The record is from RNAcentral.